UAGUCCACGCCGUAAACGAUGAAUACUAGGUGUCGGGAGCGCUUGUCCUCUUGGUAACGCAGCUAACGCAAUAAGUAUCCCGCCUGGGAAGUACGGUCGCAAGAUUAAAACUCAAAGGAAUUGACGGGGGCCCGCACAAGCGGUGGAGCAUGUGGUUUAAUUCGAUGCUACGCGAAGAACCUUACCUGGGCUUGACAUCCCGGGCUACCCUGUGAAAGCAGGGGUUCCCUUCGGGGACCCGGUGACAGGUGCUGCAUGGCUGUCGUCAGCUCGUGUUGUGAGAUGUUGGGUUAAGUCCCGCAACGAGCGCAACCCUCGCCCUUAGUUACCAGCAUUUAGUUGGGCACUCUAAGGGGACCGCUUGGCUAUAAGCCAGAGGAAGGUGGGGAUGACGUCAAGUCCUCAUGGCCUUUAUGUCCAGGGGCUACACACGUGCUACAAUGGGAAAGGACAAAGCGCAGCUAACUCGCGAGAGUGUGCUAAUCGCAAAAACCUUUUCUCAGUUCGGAUUGGAGUCUGCAAC
RNAcentral lists this ribosomal RNA (523 nucleotides) under uncultured bacterium. RNAcentral's name for it is "bacterial SSU rRNA". It matches the Rfam family "Bacterial small subunit ribosomal RNA", at positions 791 to 1311 of the family's 1533-position model. The record is from RNAcentral.